AAUAAUAAUAAUAACUACAGAAUGAAAUCUGAGACAUAAAUAACUGCGCUCGUUGCAGUUGAGAAUAAUGUUACCGCAUAUAAAAUGAAAUCAGUCGAGAAGAAUAUUGAACCUUCUAUACUCUAUAUAACUUUUUGUUUGAUCGUCAUUGCGUUGAAAUAAAUAAAUAAAUAAAUUAGUUAAUAAAUACAUAGAUAAAUCAACAACAACAUCAGUAAUAAUAAUAGUAAUAAUCAUAAGAAGAAGAAGAAGAGGAAAAAGAAGAAUCACUGCAUUAAUGACGCACGGAGUGUGUGUGUGUGUGUGUGUGUGUGGGUGUGUUGUUUAGCAUUAUAUGAUAACAGUUAGAUCAAUACUGAUAUAAGAAUGAUUAAUCCAAUGUGCUGAUAAAAUAAUUUUAUUCCAUGUUUUUUCAUUUAUAUACACUACUGAUACACAAACACAACUAAACAACAAGCACAACAACACGUAAACAAACAGUUAUACCUAAUAAUAAAUAAUAACCAAUAACAUCAUGAUAGAAUUCUGACAGAGCAGCUGUACUCCUUUGUAUCGUGUGUGUGUGUGUGUGUGUGUGUGGGUGCGUGUGUAUUAACAUGUGACUGUGCUGUGGUGAUGAGGAUGAUGGUUGCCAUCGGAAACGGUUGUUCAGGAGAUCCUCGUGAGCGCGGGGGUCAUGGGGUCAUGAUAAACACACGCCAUGAGGGUCUCAUGACAGGAUUGUGCAGUCAUCACACACACACACACACACAUACACACACACUCACUCACAUACACACACACACACACACACACACACUCACACACACACACCUGAUCUACCUCAGCAUGGUUUACUGUAGGAAAUUAGAGUGAUCGAAACAGAUGAACAAAAGAGAGAGAGAGAGAGAGAGAGAGAGUUAUAAAGUCACAGAGACAGACAGACAGAGUGAUAGAGAUACAGACAGACAGACAGACAGACAGACAGACAGAGUGAUAGAGAUACAGACAGACAGACAGACAGACAGAGUGAUAGAGAUACAGACAGACAGAGUGAUAGAGAUACAGACAGACAGAUAGAGAGACAGACAGACAGAUGGAGAGACAGACAGAUUGAUAGAGGCAUUUAUCAUAUUUGGUGGAGAACAAAAGGUUGCCCUUUUGUCCGUUCCGUAAAUGGAGGAGAAAAUUCCUCGGGGAAUUCCUGAAUUCAGAUCAGGAGAGAGACAGUGAGACAGAGAGUGAGACUGAGAGUGAGACAUAGAGAGAGAGACAGACAGCGCCUACAUGUGGGAAAGUAAAGGGCAGGAAUGAGAAGUGUGUGGACUGGAUGAUGACCUAAUGAGUUUGUCGGGGCAGAGUCGUUAUGUUCCAGAACUUUCUCCGUGUGUGUGUGUGUGUGUGUCGUGAUCAGGUUUGAUAAAAAAAAAUCCUUACUGUUUUUUCUACAGUGUGCAUUUACUAAACAAACGUUUCUACUCAUAUAAGUUGUACUGAUUCCUCCAGACCACCAGGGGGCGAGUUUAACCUUUAACCUUUCCUUUAUCCCUAUAUCAUUAUAUAUGGAGUAGGUUAUUACCCUGCGAAUGCAAAAUGUUCACUACACUACACAGACAUAUUACACGCUCAGAGUUUCACUCAUUUCAUUCACAGCAGCACAAACAAUAAUGUUACCAUGACAACCCACUGCUAACAAUACCUAAGUUAGCUAGCUGCAUUAACACACAAAUUCUAGGCUUAAAAGUUUACAGGUAACACGUUUGCCAGUCUCUAAUCUCAGACCAUUGGUCCAAUGCUGUGGAGUUUAUUUAGUGACAUCACAAACUGAGCUGAGACUUAGCUCCGCCCUCAAAGCAGCCAGUACAUCUCAACAGAGAGUGUGUUAGCAUGUAUAGGAUAGGAGGACAUUGAAUCACACACAUAACCACGUACAGAUACUGGAUUAAAUAGAUUCAGUAAUCAGAUCGUAUACCUUCCUGCAACAUUAACUAACAUCUGCUGCUUCAACAACAUUGCUGAAAUACUUUUGCAUGCUAUAGACCAAAACAUCCUACAGCUCAAACACCCAGACAUCUUCUGCUAAUUUAAACUUGAGCACAAAACAUUUCCACUAAGACAUUAUGUAGACAUCACAGGAAAUUGUGAUACCUUCACGCCUGUCCUGUGGAGGUUGUUGGUGAUGUCAGUGACUGUUGUUUUGGGUUUUUCUUCACAGUUCUCACAAUGUUUCUGUCAUCAGCUGUUUUGUUUUCCUUGGACAGCCUGUUCCAUGUCUGGUUGUCAGUACUCCAGUGGUUUCUUUCUUUUUCAGGACAGUCCAGAUUGUUGUAUUGACUUUACCCAGUGUUUGUGCAGUGCCUCUGAUAGAUUUUCCCUCUUCACUCAGCUUCAAAAUGGCUUGCUUUUCUCCCAUAGACAGCUGUCUGGUCUUCAUGUUGGUUUAUCCUUUUAAACAACAAAUGCAGAUGAAACCUUGGACUGAAAUCAAGUGUAGAUAUUCAGAUCUAUUAAUUCUUUAAACAAUCAAUCUAACAGGACACACCUGUCAGGCACAUGUUCCAAUAUUUAUGAACACUUGAAACAUAGGUUCAAACAAAAGGUGCCAUGUUCUAAGCUGUUUAACACGUUGAGAGGUAAAUAUCAGGAAAUAAAAGCUGAAAUUCUGAUCUAUUGUCGCAUAUUCAUCUUUUGAUCUCAAGUCCAGACGUCUUCAGUGUACAGCACAAAAAAUUAAUAGGCCUUGCUGUUCCAAUAGUUUUGGAGGGAACUGUACAUCACCAAAACAUCCUACUGCCAUCACAUUCAACUUAGUAUUGUUAGUGUGGACAGGUCUCUCUCUCUCUCUCUCUCUCUCUCUCUCUCUCUCUCUCGCUCUCUGUACCUGUAUCAUGAGGACUGCAGGUGUGGGAACCUUCUCUCUCUGAGCUCCCACACGGAUAGUCCCUGUGUGUGUGUGUGUGUGUGUGUGUGUGAAUGUGUGCAGUCUAAUUCUGAUUAAUUAACUUAUCAGCAUGACCAAUCUUUAAAACAUUCUUCACUAGAACGCAUGUAAAUGAUCUGUUUCACCCUGACUCAUGUGAGUGAAGGAGCUGGGACGUGUGUGUGUGUGUGUGGGUGUUGUGUGUUUCAUGGUGAAUAUUGAUGACUCGAGCUCAUUAACAUGUCAGCCCAGGCCAUCUUCAAAGGGUUAAUAAAAAUAAUCCAGCAUUCCAUGACCCUUUGUGACCUAGCACUUCUCUCCAUCUUUUUAAUAAAUCCAUGCAGCUGUGCGACGUUUAAAUGGGUCCCCCUCUCUCGCCUUUCCCUGCCUCUGUGACCAUCCAUGAAUCCGGCCUUUGUGUGGAGUUUCCUAUCCUCCACCGUUCCUUCUCUCUCUCUCUCUCUCUCUCUCUCUCUCUCUCUCUCUCUCUCUCUGUGUUCUGGGGGCAGGGUGGUGGAGCAGGGUGGCAGUCAUGGUGGUGGUGAUGGGGGGUGAAAACUUGGACGUAGGUCCUGUGCAGCUGGGGAAGAAUAGAGAAAGAGAGAGAGAGGGAUGGUGGGAUGAAUGGCUCAUUGUACUGGCCAGUGCGUAUCAGUGCUGAGAGGCUGAAGGAAAGAGUCCAGUUACUGCAAUUGUGUGAGAGAAUCUAAAGGAAACUGAUAGGGGAGAGCUGAGGGCUUAUACCAGGGAGUUUAGGGCAAAAACAGGAGAAAGAGAGAGAGAGAGAGAGAGAGAGAGAGAGAGAGAGAGAGAGAGAGAACUGCAGGUAUUUCUAAGUUAUCCUGCUGCAGGUGUCGUCAGUAAAGUUUAUAAUCAUCCUGAUCAAUAGAUACAGUUUCUGUUUCAUCCAGUUUUUACAUUCAUGUUUAUUUUAAUCCACUUUGUCCAUAUCCAGAAACCAGACACCCCGCCCCGUAUUAUCAGGACACACCCUCUUUUUCAGAUCUAAAAUAUCAGCCCCUGUCGAGAUUCCCAAAAUUCUUAAUAUGACCCACGAUUGUGUCGUCUCUGUAAAUAGACAGCCCGUACUCUAUAUUUCUGUCGGUUCCAUGCUCUGCACACUGCUGGAAGAGUUCAUGGUUCUGUGUAAAGGAACGUUUUCCUGGAAGUUUGAUAGAUGUUUGAGAUCAGAACAGAGACACACUGAAUAAAUAGCACAGGUGUAUCCUUACUAUUAGAAAAACUUACAUAGCUGUGUUUUUAACCUGGACAGGAAAAUUGGAGGGCAAAAAAGCCCCAAAAACCUCCAAUGUAUUGCUUAGAGGAUUUAUAGAAGGGCUGGUCAUGAGUUUCUGAAAAGCAUCAGAAACGUAAUACCUUAACUGGGAGAGAGAGUGUUCCGUAUGAUGCUCUCUCUACCGUAUUUGUGCUCUGAUGCUUUUGGGAAACUCUGAUUAUUUGUGUUGAUAUUAUAUCCGUAUAUUUCUGUGUAUUUCAUGUUCAGUAUCAUUUAAACACAUUUCAUGGUGAACAACGUGGUGGUCUCUGUGACAUGACGAGCACUCAAAUGCUGUUUUUAAAAAAGUAAAAAUCCCAUCAGUCGUGACUACCAGCCCUGAAUAACUGGUCUCUCAGUGUCUGCAUGCAGUGUGUCUGUAAGUGUGCUGUGAUUAAUGUGGUUAUAUUAAUACACAGGAUCGUUUUUAAUGAUAUGAUUUACAAGUCACUGGUAGAAUUCCAUAAUGGGAAAGUCUUACAUCACUGAAGUCACAUUCCCUUCAGUCCAUUUACAUUUAUUCAUGUGGCAGAUUUUCCAGUUUGAUUUAUAACUGAGAGAAGGGACAGUCCCCCGCAGUUGGGGGUUAAAGGUCGAGUUUGAGCGGCCAGCAUCAACUCUCCCAGUGUUCCACUGACUGACUCCGAGCUGUAACCACCGAGGCACCACAUUCACACACUUAAACAUUCAGGCUCGGGUUCUAGAAUCAGGUUUCAGAGAACCACAAUAAUUAAUUGUGUUGUACGGAGCUCCUAUUAUUUCAUUAUUAUGCCACAGCUGUUGAGUUCUGGAUCGUGAUUGGUCAGAAGGUGUUGAUUAAUUUUCUAUAACAGCAGCUCUGAAAGUAGCGCAGCUGCAAAAGUUUACGCUUCUCUGCGGUUUCUGGCGUAACAAGCUGCAUUUUUUAAUCUGAUUAACUUCAAGAGAGAGAAAAAAGAGAGGCUGAUGUUUAUACAGUGGUGCUUGAAAGUUUGUGAACCCUUUAGAAUUUUCUACAUUUCUGCGUAAAUGUGACCUAAAACAUCAUCGGAUUUUCACACAAGUCCUAAAAGUAGAUAAAGAGAACCCAGUUAAAUAAAUCUGACAAAAAUAUUAUACUCGGUCAUUUAUUAAUUGAGGAAAAUGAUCCACUAUUACAUAUGAACCUUGUGUGUGACCCCCUUGUGCAGUAAUAACUGCAGAUAAACGUUUGGGGUAAGUGUUGAUCAUCUGCACAUCGACUUGGAGGAGUUUUAUCCCGUUCCUCAGUACAGAACAGCUUCAGCUCUGGGAUGCUGGUGGGUUUCCUCACAUGAACUGCUUGCUACAACAUUUCCAUUGGAUUAAGGUCAGGACUUUGAUUUGGCCAUUCCAAAACAUAAACAUUAACAUUAACUUUAUUCUUCUCUGGUAGAACGACUCGUGUGAUUAGGGUCGUUGUCUCGCUGCAUGACCCACUUUCUCUUCAGAUUCAGUUCAUGGACAGAUGUUCUGAUAUUUUCCUUUAGAACUCGCUGGUAUCAUUCAGAACUCAUUGUUCCAUCAGUGAUGGUGAGUCGUCCUGGUCCAGAUGCAGCAAAACAGUCCACAACCAUGACACUACCACCAUGUUUCACAGAUGGGAUAAAGGUCCUUCUGCUGGAAUGCAGUGUUUUCCUUUCUCCAAACAUAACGCUUCUCAUUUAAACCAAAAAGUUCUAUUUUGGUCUCAUCCAUCCACAAAACAUUUUCCAUUAGACUUCUGGCUUGUUCACGUGAUCUUUAUCAAACUGCAGAAGGGCAGAAAUGUUCUUUAUGGAGAGUAGUGUGGUUCUCCUUGCAGUCCUGCCAUACACACCAUUGUUGUUCAGCGUUCUCCUGUUGGUGGACUCAUGAACAUUAACAUUAGCCAAUGUGAGAGAGGACUUUAGUUGCUUCUCUGUUGGAGAGAUCUUUGUUGGUCUCCACUCCUGUGGAGGAGAACGAUGGUGUUGAAUUUCCUCCAUUUGUACACAAUCUGUCUGACUGUGGAUUGGUGGAGUCCAAAC
Ictalurus punctatus (channel catfish) is the source of this 6181-nucleotide long non-coding RNA. NCBI's taxonomy places the organism in Eukaryota, Metazoa, Chordata, Actinopteri, Siluriformes, Ictaluridae. The record is from Ensembl.